This 700-nucleotide long non-coding RNA is filed under the name Cyanistes caeruleus (blue tit). Its description in RNAcentral is "lncRNA (ENSCCEG00000012231.1)". Lineage: Eukaryota; Metazoa; Chordata; Aves; Passeriformes; Paridae. The record is from RNAcentral.
AUCUUGUGGUGCAUGGCGCGGCCGUCGGGGCGGCCCCGAUCGGGUGAGGGCCUGGCCCGGCCGCCAUCGUGGCUCAAUCCCUCUCCCGUCUCUGUGAGCUUUCUGCGGUGACUCCCCACAGUGGCUCUGUGCAGGAGAGAGUUCUCAUCCAGAAACAUCCUAGAGAGUGCCAGAAAGGGGGACAAAAAGAGAAGCUACCUGCCUCUGGAUACAGGAAGAAGGCAGAUAGUGAAACUCAGAGAAGAAUCCCAAGGCAUCCUUUGCAGUGUUUAUUGCUUGUGAGAGCAGGCUGAGAGUUAUUCCUUGCUGUGCUUCCAGAGCAGGAGCAUUUGGUGCUUUGAUGCUGGGACAGAAGAGGUGUGCAAGGAAACAGAGUCAGCAGCUGAAGUGCAUAGCCAGGAGUCAGUUCCCUGUACCUGGCCUCUAAACACUGGGAGGACGUGGCUACAGGAGUCAUGGAGUGAGAGAAUGGAGGAAUCUGGGCACAUCAGCUGUCUGGCCUGGAAGCAGCUGGCGGCUUUUCAAAUACACGGACGUCUUUCCAGUUUUCGAAGAAGCCGUGUGUGGGUUGGAAGGAGAGCAGACUGCCUCUGACUGAUAGAUGAGCUUCGGAAAUUCUGCCCUUGUUUUUAGAUAUUUUCAAAUAUUUGGAGAACAAUAUUAAAAUAAAUGACUGACAAAAUGAUGAUUACUCUUUUCA